AUGAGUGUUGGAAUUUGUGGGUACGGAGAGACAACAUUUGGACUCUCAGAAAAAAGCUGUAAACUGGGGAACAGGCUGAGGCCCUUUGUGAAGAGAUGGGUUAAAACCAGUGAAGCAGGAGCUAUUCCAGUGUCCAGUGUCCUCAGCUCAUUCUCCCGUGGUGAUGCUGCCAGAGAGCAGAGACCAGCCAUCAGAAGCACAUUAAUUCUGGUCUUUUCUUGUAUCUCUCAAAUAGUGCCCAAAAAAAAGAGACACUGUUUGCACCCCCGGGCUCACUGGUUCAGUCUUUCUCCUUCUUCCCCGGCUUCUCACCACUCCUCAUGCACUGUCAGUGGAAGCCCUGCCUCUACCUGCAAUAGGAAACUGAGCCGAGAGACGGUCCCCUUACGGCCUCUAACCUGCGCAUCUCAGGCACGAGAUCCUCUCCCUUCAGCAUUCCUGCCUUCCUUAUUCCCUGUGUCCUGGGACCUCUGCACACCUUAUCUCCAGCCCUGUUUGGCAUCGACAUUCUAA
RNAcentral lists this long non-coding RNA (513 nucleotides) under Sus scrofa (pig). RNAcentral's name for it is "lncRNA (ENSSSCG00055000249.1)". Lineage: Eukaryota; Metazoa; Chordata; Mammalia; Artiodactyla; Suidae. The record is from RNAcentral.